Molecule: unclassified non-coding RNA, 335 nt
Filed under: Peribacillus simplex
Lineage: Bacteria; Bacillati; Bacillota; Bacilli; Caryophanales; Bacillaceae
Description: Bacillus simplex cspA
Source: RNAcentral
UUCAGAUUUAAGGAAUACCUUAAUAUUCUUUUGAGCAAGGAUAGUAAUAUAAUGUGUGGAGAACACACUAGGAGGCAACAAAAAUGGAACAAGGUAAAGUAAAAUGGUUUAACGCAGAAAAAGGUUUUGGAUUCAUCGAACGUGAAGGUGGAGACGAUGUAUUCGUACAUUUCUCAGCUAUCCAAGGCGAAGGUUUCAAAACUCUUGAAGAAGGCCAAGACGUUACAUUUGAUGUAGAACAAGGUCAACGUGGACCACAAGCAUCAAACGUAAACAAAGCUUAAUUCAACCCUAUAUUAUUUACAGACAGGCUCUCUUUUGGAGCCUGUCUUUUA